Molecule: ribosomal RNA, 425 nt
Filed under: uncultured bacterium
Lineage: Bacteria
Description: partial 16S ribosomal RNA
Rfam family: Bacterial small subunit ribosomal RNA
Source: RNAcentral
GUGGGGAAUCUUAGACAAUGGGCGCAAGCCUGAUCUAGCCAUGCCGCGUGAGCGAUGAAGGCCUUAGGGUUGUAAAGCUCUUUCGUGGGGGAAGAUAAUGACUGUACCCCAAGAAGAAGCCCCGGCUAACUCCGUGCCAGCAGCCGCGGUAAUACGGAGGGGGCUAGCGUUGUUCGGAAUUACUGGGCGUAAAGCGCACGUAGGCGGACUGGAAAGUCAGGGGUGAAAUCCCGGGGCUCAACCCCGGAACUGCCUUUGAAACUCCCAGUCUUGAGUUCGAGAGAGGUGAGUGGAAUUCCGAGUGUAGAGGUGAAAUUCGUAGAUAUUCGGAGGAACACCAGUGGCGAAGGCGGCUCACUGGCUCGAUACUGACGCUGAGGUGCGAAAGCGUGGGGAGCAAACAGGAUUAGAUACCCCUGUAGUCC